RNAcentral lists this ribosomal RNA (497 nucleotides) under uncultured bacterium. RNAcentral's name for it is "partial 16S ribosomal RNA". It matches the Rfam family "Bacterial small subunit ribosomal RNA", at positions 28 to 507 of the family's 1533-position model. The record is from RNAcentral.
GAUGAACGCUGGCGGCGUGCCUAAUACAUGCAAGUCGAGCGAACGGACGAGAAGCUUGCUUCUCUGAUGUUAGCGGCGGACGGGUGAGUAACACGUGGAUAACCUACCUAUAAGACUGGGAUAACUUCGGGAAACCGGAGCUAAUACCGGAUGAUAUUUUGAACCGCAUGGUUCAAAAGUGAAAGACGGUCUUGCUGUCACUUAUAGAUGGAUCCGCGCUGCAUUAGCUAGUUGGUAAGGUAACGGCUUACCAAGGCAACGAUGCAUAGCCGACCUGAGAGGGGGAUCGGCCACACUAGAAGUGGGACACGGUCCAGACUCCUACGGGAGGCAGCAGUAGGGAAUCUGCCGCAGUGGGCGAAAGCCUGACGGAGCAAGGCCGCGUGAGUGAUGAAGGUGUUCGGAUCGGAAAACUCUGUUAUUAGGGAAGAACAUAUGUGUAAGGAACUGUGCACAUCUUGACGGUACCUAAUCAGAAAGCCACGGCUAACUACGUG